This 253-nucleotide ribosomal RNA is filed under the name uncultured bacterium. RNAcentral describes it as "partial 16S ribosomal RNA". It matches the Rfam family "Bacterial small subunit ribosomal RNA", at positions 524 to 776 of the family's 1533-position model. The record is from RNAcentral.
GACGAACCACACAAACGUUAUUCGGAAUUACUGGGCUUAAAGGGUGCGUAGGCGGCGCGGAAAGUUGGGUGUGAAAUUCCUCGGCUCAACCGGGGAACUGCGCCCAAAACUACCGUGCUCGAGGGAGAUAGAGGUGAGCGGAACUUAGGGUGGAGCGGUGAAAUGCGUUGAUAUCCUAAGGAACACCCGUGGCGAAAGCGGCUCACUGGGUCUUCUCUGACGCUGAGGCACGAAAGCUAGGGUAGCGAACGGG